RNAcentral lists this ribosomal RNA (490 nucleotides) under uncultured bacterium. RNAcentral describes it as "partial 16S ribosomal RNA". It matches the Rfam family "Bacterial small subunit ribosomal RNA", at positions 30 to 507 of the family's 1533-position model. The record is from RNAcentral.
AUUGAACGCUGGCGGCAGGCCUAACACAUGCAAGUCGAACGGUAACAGGAAGAAGCUUGCUUCUUUGCUGACGAGUGGCGGACGGGUGAGUAAUGUCUGGGAAACUGCCUGAUGGAGGGGGAUAACUACUGGAAACGGUAGCUAAUACCGCAUAACGUCGCAAGACCAAAGAGGGGGACCUUCGGGCCUCUUGCCAUCGGAUGUGCCCAGAUGGGAUUAGCUAGUAGGUGGGGUAACGGCUCACCUAGGCGACGAUCCCUAGCUGGUCUGAGAGGAUGACCAGCCACACUGGAACUGAGACACGGUCCAGGCUCCUACGGGAGGCAGCAGUGGGGAAUAUUGCACAAUGGGCGCAAGCCUGAUGCAGCCAUGCCGCGUGUAUGAAGAAGGCCUUCGGGUUGUAAAGUACUUUCAGCGGGGAGGAAGGGAGUAAAGUUAAUACCUUUACUCAUUGACGGUACCCGCAGAAGAAGCACCGGCUAACUCCGUG